Molecule: ribosomal RNA, 253 nt
Filed under: uncultured bacterium
Lineage: Bacteria
Description: partial 16S ribosomal RNA
Rfam family: Bacterial small subunit ribosomal RNA
Source: RNAcentral
UACGUAGGGUGCAAGCGUUGUCCGGAAUUAUUGGGCGUAAAGAGCUCGUAGGCGGUCUGUCGCGUCGGCUGUGAAAUCCCGGAGCUCAACUCCGGGUCUGCAGUCGAUACGGGCAGACUGGAGUUCGGCAGGGGAGACUGGAAUUCCUGGUGUAGCGGUGAAAUGCGCAGAUAUCAGGAGGAACACCGGUGGCGAAGGCGGGUCUCUGGGCCGAUACUGACGCUGAGGGGCGAAAGCGUGGGGAGCGAACCGG